AAGUCGUAACAAGGUUUCCGUAGGUGAACCUGCGGAAGGAUCAUUGACAAAUCUAAAACCGUUGCGUGGAGCGCUGGCCUUAAACAAGCUAGCUUUCACGUCAACAAAUCUUAACCUGUGAAUCGCAGCACGCAAGUGUUGUUGUGUCGUCUGUGUUAGAUCUGUAUAGCUUCGGCUAUAUAUUUUUACACAUGCACACGUUAAAAUUAACGUAACAAAUGUCUUGAAAUACAAACUAAAAAAUACAACUUUUAGCAAUGGAUCUCUUGGCUUCU
RNAcentral lists this unclassified non-coding RNA (275 nucleotides) under fungal sp. RNAcentral's name for it is "partial internal transcribed spacer region". The stretch from base 1 to 46 matches the Rfam family "Eukaryotic small subunit ribosomal RNA", at positions 1786 to 1831 of the family's 1831-position model. The record is from RNAcentral. Lineage: Eukaryota; Fungi.